CUGGCGGCAUGCCUAACACAUGCAAGUCGAACGCUCCGCAAGGGGAGUGGCGAACGGGUGAGUAACGCGUGGGAAUCUACCCAGCAGUGGGGAAUAACCGCGGGAAACUGCGGCUAAUACCGCAUACGCCCUUAGGGGGAAAGAUUUAUCGCUGUUGGAGGAGCCCGCGUCGGAUUAGCUAGUUGGUGAGGUAAUGGCUCACCAAGGCGACGAUCCGUAGCUGGUCUGAGAGGAUGAUCAGCCACACUGGGACUUAGACACGGCCCAGACUCC
This 273-nucleotide ribosomal RNA is filed under the name unidentified marine bacterioplankton. RNAcentral describes it as "partial 16S ribosomal RNA". It matches the Rfam family "Bacterial small subunit ribosomal RNA", at positions 36 to 339 of the family's 1533-position model. The record is from RNAcentral. RNAcentral also lists the same sequence under 1 other name.